CAGAGCUUUCGGGGCGGGGUGAAAGUCCCCACCGGCGGUAUUGGCCCUUGGCCUGAGCCCGCGAGCGGCUUCCUUCUUUAGGGGGCGGCAUGAUCUGGUGAGAGUCCAGAGCCGACGGUGAUAGUCCGGAUGAGAGAAAGCGUGA
This 145-nucleotide non-coding RNA is filed under the name Parvularcula bermudensis. RNAcentral's name for it is "FMN sequence". It matches the Rfam family "FMN riboswitch aptamer (RFN element)". From Rfam's summary of the family: The RFN element is a highly conserved domain that is found frequently in the 5'-untranslated regions of prokaryotic mRNAs that encode for flavin mononucleotide (FMN) biosynthesis and transport proteins. This element is a metabolite-dependent riboswitch that directly binds FMN in the absence of proteins. RNAcentral also lists the same sequence under 1 other name. The record is from RNAcentral. Lineage: Bacteria; Pseudomonadati; Pseudomonadota; Alphaproteobacteria; Parvularculales; Parvularculaceae.